CCGGCGCACGGGUGAGUAACACGUAUGCAAUCCACCUGUAACAGGGGGAGUAACCCGGAGAAAUCCGGACUAAUACCCAUAAUAUGGGCGCUCCGCAUGGAGAGCCCAUUAAAAAGAAGCAAUUUUGGUUACAGACGAGCAUGCGCUCCAUUAGCCAGUUGGCGGGGUAACGGCCCACCAAAGCGACGAUGGAUAGGGGUUCUGAGAGGAAGGUCCCCCACAUUGGAACUGAGACACGGUCCAA
Molecule: ribosomal RNA, 244 nt
Filed under: uncultured bacterium
Lineage: Bacteria
Description: partial 16S ribosomal RNA
Rfam family: Bacterial small subunit ribosomal RNA
Source: RNAcentral